GGGGCAGCGAAGCAGGACUCGGCAUCGCGGGAGCCCUGGGCUGAAGAUGCGGGAGGCCUGCGGGGGAGAAGCGAGGGAGGCGCUUGGGGCUCGGGACUUACACCCAAGACGCACCCUGCCCCUGACUGACUUCGGAAAGGGAAGCCUCUCCAGCUAGUGAAACAUCUGAGGAGAUUUGUUAUGAGGUUGGACAAUAUGAAGAAAGGAAAGGCAUUCAAAUCCCCUAUUGUAUGGACACUGUGGGCGUACGGUCUCAUCCUCACUAGGCUCCUAGCAGAGUCCUUUUGGAGCUAUUCGAAGUGGCCGUUGAAGCCAGCCUAUGCAUUCCCCAGUGCACAGAGCCCAGCUCGGGUGACAGGCGUGGAUCAGCACUGAACAAGGUUGUGCAGCUCCAGAAGCCUCAAGUGAGCAAGCACAAGCCACCAGAGCCAUGGUGACACUGCUAGAGGCUCAUGACUUCAGAGAGCGAGCACUGAGUAAAAAUGUUCACCCGCCAUGGCACAAACCCCAAACCAGGCUGAGGAUGGCGCGAGGAUGGAAAAUAAAGGGACACAUCUGACAGCUGCAUCUAGUGCUGUUCUCAAGCUCUUCUCAGCAGUUCUUUAUCCUUCAAAUUCCUCUCCUAGAGAGGAUCUCAAAGGGUUACGACAGUGAGUGCUUUUCAAGUACUCCAUGUAUAUUAAAUUGUGUAAGCUUUAAG
RNAcentral lists this long non-coding RNA (700 nucleotides) under Heterocephalus glaber (naked mole-rat). RNAcentral describes it as "lncRNA (ENSHGLG00000050119.1)". The record is from RNAcentral. Lineage: Eukaryota; Metazoa; Chordata; Mammalia; Rodentia; Bathyergidae.